AUACGUAGGGAGCGAGCGUUGUCCGGAAUUACUGGGUGUAAAGGGCGUGUAGGCGGAGAUGCAAGUCAGGAGUGAAAUCUAGGGGCUCAACCCCUAAACUGCUUUUGAAACUGUAUCCCUUGAGUAUCGGAGAGGCAGGCGGAAUUCCUAGUGUAGCGGUGAAAUGCGUAGAUAUUAGGAGGAACACCAGUGGCGAAGGCGGCCUGCUGGACGACAACUGACGCUGAGGCGCGAAAGCGUGGGGAGCAAACAGGAUUAGAUACCCUGGUAGUCCACGCUGUAAACGAUGAAUACUAGGUGUGGGGGGACUGACCCCCUCCGUGCCGCAGUUAACACAAUAAGUAUUCCACCUGGGGAGUACGAUCGCAAGAUUGAAACUCAAAUGAAUUGGCGGGG
RNAcentral lists this ribosomal RNA (396 nucleotides) under uncultured bacterium. RNAcentral's name for it is "partial 16S ribosomal RNA". It matches the Rfam family "Bacterial small subunit ribosomal RNA", at positions 523 to 918 of the family's 1533-position model. The record is from RNAcentral.